This 319-nucleotide ribosomal RNA is filed under the name uncultured eukaryote. RNAcentral's name for it is "partial 18S ribosomal RNA". It matches the Rfam family "Eukaryotic small subunit ribosomal RNA", at positions 1470 to 1796 of the family's 1831-position model. The record is from RNAcentral.
CCCUUAGAUUGUCUGGGCGGCACGCGCGCUACAAUGAUGCAUUCAAAAAGUCUUCUGACCUUAGAAGGUUGGGCAUUCUCCAAAGUGCAUCGUGAUGGGAAUAGUUUAUUGCAAUUUUUAAUCUUGAACGAGGAAUUCCUAGUAAGUACAGGUCAUCAACUUGUGUUGAUUACGUCCCUGCCCUUUGUACACACCGCCCGUCGCUCCUACUGAUUGAGUGUCUCGGUGAAUUCGUUGAUCUUCUGUCGAUUCAGUUCACUGAUCCGACGGUGGAAAGUUGAAUGAACUUCGUCACUUAGAGGAAGGAGAAGUCGUAACA